Molecule: ribosomal RNA, 254 nt
Filed under: uncultured bacterium
Lineage: Bacteria
Description: partial 16S ribosomal RNA
Rfam family: Bacterial small subunit ribosomal RNA
Source: RNAcentral
UACGGGGGGAGCAAGCGUUGUUCGGAUUUACUGGGCGUAAAGGGCGCGUAGGCGGCCACCGCAAGUCGGUUGUGAAAUCUCUGGGCUUAACCCAGAAAGGUCAACCGAUACUGCGGGGCUAGAGUGCAGAAGGGGCAACUGGAAUUCUCGGUGUAGCGGUGAAAUGCGUAGAUAUCGAGAGGAACACCUGCGGCGAAGGCGGGUUGCUGGGCUGACACUGACGCUGAAGCGCGAAAGCGUGGGGAGCAAACAGG